AUUGAACGCUGGCGGCAGGCUUAACACAUGCAAGUCGAGCGGGGGAAGGUAGCUUGCUACCGGACCUAGCGGCGGACGGGUGAGUAAUGCUUAGGAAUCUGCCUAUUAGUGGGGGACAACAUCUCGAAAGGGAUGCUAAUACCGCAUACGUCCUACGGGAGAAAGCAGGGGAUCUUCGGUCCUUGCGCUAAUAGAUGAGCCUAAGUCGGAUUAGCUAGUUGGUGGGGUAAAGGCCUACCAAGGCGACGAUCUGUAGCGGGUCUGAGAGGAUGAUCAGCCACACUGGGACUGAGACACGGCCCAGACUCCUACGGGAGGCAGCAGUGGGGAAUAUUGGACAAUGGGGGGAACCCUGAUCCAGCCAUGCCGCGUGUGUGAAGAAGGCCUUAUGGUUGUAAAGCACUUUAAGCGAGGAGGAGGCUACUCUAGUUAAUACCUAGGGAUAGUGGACGUUACUCGCAGAAUAAGCACCGGCUAACUCUGUGCCAGCCGCCGCUGUAA
This 501-nucleotide ribosomal RNA is filed under the name uncultured bacterium. RNAcentral describes it as "partial 16S ribosomal RNA". It matches the Rfam family "Bacterial small subunit ribosomal RNA", at positions 30 to 523 of the family's 1533-position model. The record is from RNAcentral.